This 69-nucleotide transfer RNA is filed under the name Lachesilla anna. RNAcentral describes it as "tRNA-Ser". The record is from RNAcentral. Lineage: Eukaryota; Metazoa; Arthropoda; Insecta; Psocodea; Lachesillidae.
AAUUGAUUAGUCUAACAAAGACGAUUGUUUUGAAAACAGUAAAUGGCUUGUUUAUCCAUCCAUCAAUUU